Molecule: long non-coding RNA, 2491 nt
Filed under: Homo sapiens (human)
Lineage: Eukaryota; Metazoa; Chordata; Mammalia; Primates; Hominidae
Description: non-protein coding lnc-MYPN-2:1
Source: RNAcentral
AGACUCUGUUUCAAAAAAGAAAAAAAUCAGUAAGAUAUAGAAGAUUGAAAAACAUGAUUAACUAACUUGGUCCAUAAAAUAUUGCACCAACAAUAUAGAAAACACAUUCUUUUCAAGUACACUAAUAUGGUUUGGAUUUGUGUCCCCACCCAAAUCUCAUGUCAAAUUGUAACCACCAUUGUUGUGGGAGGGGCCUGGUGGGAGGUGAUUGAAUCAUGGAGGCAGACUUCCCCCUUGCUGUGCUCAUGAUAAGGAAUGAGUUCUCAUGAGACCUGGUUGCUUAAAAGAAAAAUCAAUGAUAUCAAAAAUAAAUCUAUGCUGGAAAAAAUCCACAAAGACAAGAAUUGAUUUUUUGAGAAGAAUAAUAAAAUUGAUAAACUCCUAGCAACUAAUCCAUAACAAAGAAAACACAAAUUGUCAUCUUUAUGAAUAAAAUAAGGGAUAUCACUACAUAUCCUACAGACAUUAAAAAUGUGAAAAGAUACUAUGAACAACCUUAUGUCAACAAACUAAAAAUAGAGAUUUUCCAAGGAAAAAGUCCUUGGAAAGCACAAUUUACCAAAACUGAUACAAGAAAUAGAAAAUUUGAAUGGUUAUACAAUUAUUAACUAUUCAAUAGUUAAAUAAAUUAACUGGUCAACUGUUAAAUAAAUUGAAUCAAUUAUUAAAAGGCUUCUACUGAGAAAACAUCAAGGCCAUAUGGUUUUGGUCUCAGAUUGGUUUCCCUGGAAACAGAUUCUGAGAUGCUGAAUUUCAUGCAGGAGUGGGAGACACAUCUGUAGGAAACUGGUGUUUCUGACAGGAUUGGCCAGAAAUAAAAACUGACUCACAAUGCAGUUGCAACCCAGGCCUCAGCCAAGCCCUAGAGCUGAGAUAACCAUUGAGAAUUGAAUCAAUUUGAGGAAAGGGGCUAGGCUUUAGUAUUCCUAUCUUAGCACCCUGAAAAUAAGCUUAAUCUUGGGUGAGGCAGUUCCCUGCAGCUGAAGGUAGCUCCCAAGGAGGAACAUGUUGUGAGCUGUCAGCAUCAGACAUUUGAGCAGUUGGAGAAAGGGUGCAUUAAACCUUAGAAGAGAUUUAGGUUGAGUACCAGAGUAUCCAAUAAGGUUGCACUGGUGAUUUUUCCAAACAUGUAAGGAAUAAAAUCUUACACAAACUCUUCCAGAGAAUAGGAAAAGAGGAAUCAAUUCUCAACUCAUUUUAUGAGGUUGACACUAAAACUUAACAAGGACAUUAGGAGAAAGGAAAAUUAUAGAUCAAUAUCACUUAUUAAUAUAUAGUCAAUAUCCUAAAUAAAAUAUAAACAAAUAGAAUCUAACAAUACAUAAAAUAAGAAAAUAUUAUUACCAAUUAGUAUGUAUUUCAGGAAUAUAAGGUUGGUUUAACAUCUGAAAUCAAGGUAUUUCAUCCACACUAACAAAAUAAAGGAGAAAAUCCAUAGGAUAAUUUCAAUAAAGAAGGAAAAGCAUUUUACAAUAUGCAACAUCUAUUCACGCCAAAAGAAAAUGUUCAGUUGGGCAAGGUGGUUCACACCUGUAAUGCCAACACUUUGGGAUUCUGAGGUGAGGAGAUCACUUGAAGCCAGGAGUUUCAGACCAGCCUGGGCAACAUAGCAAGACUCCAUCGCUACAAAAAAAUUUUUUUAAAUUAACUGGGCAUGGUGGCAUGCACCCGUAAUCUCAGCUACUCAGGAGGCUGAGGUGGGAGGAUCGCUUGAUCCCAGGAGUUCAAGGCUGUUAAGCUAUGAUCCCACUAGUAAACUGUAGCCUGAGUGACAGAGCAAGACCCUCUCGAAAGAAAGAAAGAAAGGAAGGAAGGAAGGAAGGAAGGAAAGAAAAAAGGAAGGAAGGAAGGAAGGAGAGUUCUCAGCAGACUAAACAGAAGAAAAAUUUCUUAAUCUGAUAUAGAAUAUCUACAAGAAAGCUACAGCUAACAUCAUAUUCAAUGGUGAAAUAUUGAACAUUUUUCCCCAAGGUCAAGGAUGUUCACUCGUUUUUGUUUUGUUUUGUUUUGUUCUGUUUUGUUUUGUUUUUUGGUUGUUGAGACAGAAUCUCACUCUGUCGCCAGGCUGGAGUGGAGUGAUACAAUCUCAGCUCACUGCAACCUCCACGUCCUGGGUUCAAGUGAUUUUCCUGUCUCAGCCUCCCGAGUAGCUGGGACUACAGGCGUGUGCCACCACACCUGGCUAAUUUUUGUACUUUUAGUAGAGACCAUGUUUCACCAUGUUGGCCAGGAUGGUGUCAAUCUCUUAACCUUGUGAUCCGCCCACCUCAGCCUCCUAAAGUGCUGGGAUUACAAGCGAGAGCCACUGUACCCGGCAGGAUGUUCACUCUUAUCACUUCUACUCACUAUUGUACCAGAGGUCUCAGCCAGUGCAAUAAGGCAAGAAAAGGAAAUAAGGGGUAAAAGGUAGAAAGGAAGAAAUAAAAAUGUCUUUGUUAUUCAUAAAUGGCAUGACUGUUUAUGUAGAAAAACCAAAAGAAUCUAUAAGCUG